This 447-nucleotide ribosomal RNA is filed under the name uncultured bacterium. RNAcentral describes it as "bacterial SSU rRNA". It matches the Rfam family "Bacterial small subunit ribosomal RNA", at positions 25 to 518 of the family's 1533-position model. The record is from RNAcentral.
CAGAACGAACGCUGGCGGCAGGCUAACACAUGCAAGUCGAGCGCCGUAGCAAUACGGAGCGGCAGACGGGUGAGUAACGCGUGGGAACAUACCCCUUGGUUCGGAAUAACUCAGGGAAACUUGAGCUAAUACCGGAUAAGUCGGCAACGAGAAAGAUUCAUCGCCGAGGGAUUGGCCCGCGUCCGAUUAGCUUGUUGGUGAGGUAACGGCUCACCAAGGCGACGAUCGGUAGCUGGUCUGAGAGGAUGAUCAGCCACAUUGGGACUGAGACACGGCCCAAACUCCUACGGGAGGCAGCAGUGGGGAAUAUUGGACAAUGGGCGCAAGCCUGAAUCCAGCCAUGCCGCGUGAGUGAUGACGGCCUUAGGGUUGUAAAGCUCUUUCGCCAGGGACGAUAAUGACGGUACCUGGAUAAGAAGCCCCGGCUAACUUCGUGCCAGCCGCCGC